AUCCUGGCUCAGAACGAACGCUGGCGGCAGGCCUAACACAUGCAAGUCGAGCGAACCCUCGGGGUUAGCGGCGGACGGGUUAGUAACGCGUGGGAAUAUACCCUUUGGUACGGAAUAGCCUCGGGAAACUGAGAGUAAUACCGUAUGUGCCCUUCGGGGGAAAGAUUUAUCGCCAAAGGAUUAGCCCGCGUUGGAUUAGAUAGUUGGUGGGGUAAUGGCCUACCAAGUCUACGAUCCAUAGCUGGUUUGAGAGGAUGAUCAGCAACACUGGGACUGAGACACGGCCCAGACUCCUACGGGAGGCAGCAGUGGGGAAUCUUAGACAAUGGGCGCAAGCCUGAUCUAGCCAUGCCGCGUGGACGACGAAGGCCUUAGGGUUGUAAAGUCCUUUCAGAUGGGGAGAUAAUGACGGUACCAUCAGAAGAAGCCCCGGCUAACUCCGUG
This 444-nucleotide ribosomal RNA is filed under the name uncultured bacterium. RNAcentral describes it as "bacterial SSU rRNA". It matches the Rfam family "Bacterial small subunit ribosomal RNA", at positions 16 to 507 of the family's 1533-position model. The record is from RNAcentral.